UGCUAUCACAGAAAUGCCUUUUGUUUUCUGUAAGUGAGUAGUGUGAUGACUUUCUUGCUCAUGAAGAUGAAGGACAAGAACUACUCUGGACUGAGGUCCCACACUAAUCCACACCAUCAGCAUCCACCGUAUUGCUCUGCUCAACCUGGACCCAGAGGGAUGCCACACGGCAGCUUCAUCCCACCCUGCCCUAAUGAGGGCCAGCAUUUGAAGGAUCUCGGCUCUUGGCUCUCUGAAUCUUGUUCCCAUGCUCUUCUGCUACAGCAAAGCUCUUGGGAUGAAGGCCAGGAGCUGCCCAGGUAAGCAGCUGGUCCUGCUGAUGUGGGGAGUGGGCUUCUC
RNAcentral lists this long non-coding RNA (339 nucleotides) under Coturnix japonica (Japanese quail). RNAcentral describes it as "lncRNA (ENSCJPG00005001371.1)". Lineage: Eukaryota; Metazoa; Chordata; Aves; Galliformes; Phasianidae. The record is from RNAcentral.